AUUGAACGCUGGCGGCAGGCCUAACACAUGCAAGUCGAACGGUAACAGGAAGCAGCUUGCUGCUUUGCUGACGAGUGGCGGACGGGUGAGUAAUGUCUGGGAAACUGCCUGAUGGAGGGGGAUAACUACUGGAAACGGUAGCUAAUACCGCAUAACGUCGCAAGACCAAAGAGGGGGACCUUCGGGCCUCUUGCCAUCGGAUGUGCCCAGAUGGGAUUAGCUAGUAGGUGGGGUAAAGGCUCAUCUAGGCGACGAUCCCUAGCUGGUCUGAGAGGAUGACCAGCCACACUGGAACUGAGACACGGUCCAGACUCCUACGGGAGGCAGCAGUGGGGAAUAUUGCACAAUGGGCGCAAGCCUGAUGCAGCCAUGCCGCGUGUAUGAAGAAGGCCUUCGGGUUGUAAAGUACUUUCAGCGGGGAGGAAGGGAGUAAAGUUAAUACCUUUGCUCAUUGACGUUACCCGCAGAAGAAGCACCGGCUAACUCCGUG
This 490-nucleotide ribosomal RNA is filed under the name uncultured bacterium. Its description in RNAcentral is "partial 16S ribosomal RNA". It matches the Rfam family "Bacterial small subunit ribosomal RNA", at positions 30 to 507 of the family's 1533-position model. The record is from RNAcentral.